RNAcentral lists this ribosomal RNA (465 nucleotides) under uncultured bacterium. RNAcentral's name for it is "partial 16S ribosomal RNA". It matches the Rfam family "Bacterial small subunit ribosomal RNA", at positions 338 to 795 of the family's 1533-position model. The record is from RNAcentral.
CCUACGGGUGGCUGCAGUGGGGAAUUUUGGACAAUGGGCGCAAGCCUGAUCCAGCUACUCCGCGUGUGGGAUGACGGCCUUCGGGUCGUAAACCUCUGUUGUAGAGGACGAACGGUCUGUUGGUAAUACCGAUAGAUGUUGACGGUACUCUAAGAAUAAGCACCGGCUAACUACGUGCCAGCAGCCGCGGUAAUACGUAGGGUGCGAGCGUUAAUCGGAAUUACUGGGCGUAAAGGGAGUGAAGGCGGUUUUGCAAGAUGGAUGUGAAAGCCCCGGGCGUAACCUGGGAAAGACAUACAUGACGGGAAGAGUAGAGUGCGUAAGAGGUGGGUGGAAUUACAAGUGUAGCAGUGAAAUGCGUAGAUAUUUGGAAGAACACCGAGGGCGAAGGCAGCCGCCUGGGACGCAACUGACGCUCAUACACGAAAGCGUGGGGAGCAAACAGGAUUAGAUACCCUUGUAGUC